GUGGGGAAUCUUCCGCAAUGGACGAAAGUCUGACGGAGCAACGCCGCGUGAGUGAUGAAGGUCUUCGGAUUGUAAAGCUCUGUUAAUCGGGACGAAAGAGCCUAGUGUGAAUAAUGCUAGGAAGUGACGGUACCGGAAUAGAAAGCCACGGCUAACUACGUGCCAGCAGCCGCGGUAAUACGUAGGUGGCAAGCGUUGUCCGGAAUUAUUGGGCGUAAAGCGCGCGCAGGCGGAUCUGCCAGUCUGUCUUAAAAGUUCGGGGCUUAACCCCGUGAUGGGAUGGAAACUACAGAUCUAGAGUAUCGGAGAGGAAAGUGGAAUUCCUAGUGUAGCGGUGAAAUGCGUAGAUAUUAGGAAGAACACCAGUGGCGAAGGCGACUUUCUGGACGAAAACUGACGCUGAGGCGCGAAAGCCAGGGGAGCGAACAGGAUUAGAAACCCGUGUAGUCC
This 450-nucleotide ribosomal RNA is filed under the name uncultured bacterium. RNAcentral's name for it is "partial 16S ribosomal RNA". It matches the Rfam family "Bacterial small subunit ribosomal RNA", at positions 354 to 796 of the family's 1533-position model. The record is from RNAcentral.